RNAcentral lists this transfer RNA (72 nucleotides) under Schizosaccharomyces cryophilus. RNAcentral's name for it is "tRNA-Ile". It matches the Rfam family "tRNA". From Rfam's summary of the family: Transfer RNA (tRNA) molecules are approximately 80 nucleotides in length. Their secondary structure includes four short double-helical elements and three loops (D, anti-codon, and T loops). Lineage: Eukaryota; Fungi; Ascomycota; Schizosaccharomycetes; Schizosaccharomycetales; Schizosaccharomycetaceae. The record is from RNAcentral.
AGUUCUUUAGCUUAAGGGUUAGAGUACAAACUUGAUAAGUCUGUGAUAUAGGUUCGAAUCCUAUAAGAACUA